UGGGGAAUAUUGCACAAUGGGCGCACGCCUGAUGCAGCCAUGCCGCGUGUAUGAAGAAGGCCUUCGGGUUGUAAAGUACUUUCAGCGGGGAGGAAGGUGUUGUGGUUAAUAACCACAGCAAUUGACGUUACCCGCAGAAGAAGCACCGGCUAACUCCGUGCCAGCAGCCGCGGUAAUACGGAGGGUGCAAGCGUUAAUCGGAAUUACUGGGCGUAAAGCGCACGCAGGCGGUCUGUCAAGUCGGAUGUGAAAUCCCCGGGCUCAACCUGGGAACUGCAUCCGAAACUGGCAGGCUUGAGUCUUGUAGAGGGGGGUAGAAUUCCAGGUGUAGCGGUGAAAUGCGUAGAGAUCUGGAGGAAUACCGGUGGCGAAGGCGGCCCCCUGGACAAAGACUGACGCUCAGGUGCGAAAGCGUGGGGAGCAAACA
This 427-nucleotide ribosomal RNA is filed under the name uncultured bacterium. RNAcentral's name for it is "partial 16S ribosomal RNA". It matches the Rfam family "Bacterial small subunit ribosomal RNA", at positions 355 to 774 of the family's 1533-position model. The record is from RNAcentral.